This is a long non-coding RNA of Astyanax mexicanus (Mexican tetra), 900 nucleotides long. RefSeq lists it as uncharacterized. The transcript has 4 exons. Lineage: Eukaryota; Metazoa; Chordata; Actinopteri; Characiformes; Acestrorhamphidae. The record is from RefSeq and is a predicted model, not a curated record.
AUUUGUCCCUGUCUGUGAUUGGUCCGAAGAAAUUGUUUGGCCAAUCAAUGUACAAUGUCAUUUCACUGUGUAAUGACUAAUUUGCAUAAAAUUUAAGAAAUCUCAACUCUGUUCUGUUGCUCUGCCGCUUUGUCAAUUGUCGCUCUGUUGUGUUUCCCAACUCUGUGACCCAAGUGAACUACAAAUCCCAUAAUUCCAAGAGGUUGAUUAGUAAUCAGUGCAAACAAAGCACACCUGUUGGAACAGGUAAAUAAGGCCAUGGCAAGCAGCACACCCUGAAGCACCUUUGUAGAGGAGUGACCUGUUACAGAGGAUCAACACUACUAAAGAAAACUACAAACAGCAGACUGAUCCGAACCAGAGGAACAGCUUUCCUGCAAUUAACCAGCAGCUGAAGAAUAUUCCAGAUGACUCUGUGCUGAAGAGAGUCAUGAUGGAGCGUAGAGGAGGGAAAACCCUUAUCAUUAAUAUUCUAAACAGACGGUCAAUCAUCCUAUUAAGAGCUUGCAGGAACUUUGCAUACUUGGGGGCCGGUGGCGAUGCAUAGCCUGAGGAGCAGGAAGAGUCCGGUCUGUAAUCCGGGAGACGGGAAUAUCCGGACGGUGGGAUGAGAGCAUCUCUCCCGACCCGCCGAGACCCGUCAGCUCCUCUCAGAACAACACCUCCUCAACCAGACGAGCAGCAGAGCCUCCCGCUGCUCCCCAGCGCCGCUCCAUCACCCCUCACCUCCAUCACCUCCACCUUCACUCAACACCUGAAGCUCCACGCUCACUCCUCCUUAAUCAAUACCUCCUGCUCCCCCGCCGCCACGCACCGGCAUCCGUCAGUGCUUAAAGGUUCAAUCCAAUAUGCACCACUGUGAUCAUCGAUGUGUUUUCUCUCGCCUUCUUACACACACAC